RNAcentral lists this ribosomal RNA (414 nucleotides) under uncultured bacterium. RNAcentral's name for it is "bacterial SSU rRNA". It matches the Rfam family "Bacterial small subunit ribosomal RNA", at positions 945 to 1359 of the family's 1533-position model. The record is from RNAcentral.
UUUAAUUCGAUGCAAUGCGAAGAACCUUACCUACUCUUGACAUCCACGGAAUUCGGCAGAGAUGCCUUAGUGCCUUCGGGAACCGUGAGACAGGUGCUGCAUGGCUGUCGUCAGCUCGUGUUGUGAAAUGUUGGGUUAAGUCCCGUAACGAGCGCAACCCUUAUCCUUUGUUGCCAGCGAUUCGGUCGGGAACUCAAAGGAGACUGCCGGUGAUAAACCGGAGGAAGGUGGGGAUGACGUCAAGUCAUCAUGGCCCUUACGAGUAGGGCUACACACGUGCUACAAUGGCGCAUACAAAGAGAAGCGACCUCGCGAGAGCAAGCGGACCUCACAAAGUGCGUCGCAGUCCGGAUCGGAGUCUGCAACUCGACUCCGUGAAGUCGGAAUCGCUAGUAAUCGUGGAUCAGAAUGCCA